Molecule: long non-coding RNA, 1205 nt
Filed under: Eucalyptus grandis
Lineage: Eukaryota; Viridiplantae; Streptophyta; Magnoliopsida; Myrtales; Myrtaceae
Description: long non-coding RNA (EGRA_LNC006734)
Source: RNAcentral
CCUGAAAUUAAAAGCAUCUUCAAAUCAUUAUAGGAAAGGAAAAUACCCAUAAAUUUCUGACCAAAAAACUUUGUAUAGCCUCAAAAAGGGAGGACUGGAAAUUGAAGAGAAGAGUUGUUGAAACAAAUUAUUAUAGUAAGAGAAGAGAACACACAAAGAACAGAGGAAUUCCCUAUCUUGAUCGAUUCUUGUGCUUCCAUUAGAGAGUAACCAAUUGAACUAUAGUCCCUCAGCAACUAACUAACAAAUAGCCCAACUUCUAAACCAAACAGUUAAUUAACGUGUGUGCACCUCCUGCACUCAUAGCCAACCAAAUGGUUGAAGAUGAUCGUCCUUCUCACUUAAACACUAUUAGUAUAACUUAGGUCGACCAAUCUAGUGAUUGGGCAAUCAAUGGUGAAUUGAUGAUGUGAAAGGAGUCCAAAUGGAAAUUAUAUCAGAGGUGACUGGACUCUUGUCUGAAAAUCAUAUUUUUUGGGAGUUCUUCCAUUAGUUUAAUCCAAGAGAUUCAAUUUCUAUGUAAAUAUCAAUUAAAGUAUCAAACUGAUCCUAACAGAGGAUGAAGAAGAUACACAGAGGUGACUGGACUCUUGUCUGAAAAUCAUAUUUUUUGGGAGUUCUUCCAUUAGUUUAAUCAAGAGGUGACUGGACUCUUGUCUGAAAAUCAUAUUUUUUGGGAGUUCUUCCAUUAGUUUAAUCCAAGAGAUUCAAUUUCUAUGUAAAUAUCAAUUAAAGUAUCAAACUGAUCCUAACAGAGGAUGAAGAAGAUACACAGAGUAAAAAAUCAUUUACGUUCUUGAUAUCUAGCCUCCGUUUACAGAUUAAUGAAUCUCUGAGGUAUAAUCAGUCCUAAACUAACAAACAGUUCAAUUUUUCAGACUAACAAUGAUCACUAAAAUACAUCACAAACUGCCAGCUAACAGUGCGAUCUCAAGUUAAUCUGCACUUCAUCGCCAAAACUCUAUCAGUCAUAUUCCAACUCGAUCUUACUCGUUAAACUCAAGUUUUGUCCUCCUACUACACACUGCAAAAUUGCCAUACAAGCAAGCUAUCUCUACCCAUCCAUCCGACAGGAACAUUAUCCCGAAAAUGAAUUGCAAUUCAAACUAGAAAUUUUCUUAAUUAUCGGCUCAUGUAUCCAAAUACUUCCGCUCCACAUGCUUCGUGUGGAAAGUGGGAAAACUCAAUUAAGAAACCAAAGACUG